AUCGAACGCUGGCGGCAGGCCUAACACAUGCAAGUCGAGCGGAUGAAGGGAGCUUGCUCCUGGAUUCAGCGGCGGACGGGUGAGUAAUGCCUAGGAAUCUGCCUGGUAGUGGGGGAUAACGUCCGGAAACGGGCGCUAAUACCGCAUACGUCCUGAGGGAGAAAGUGGGGGAUCUUCGGACCUCUCGCUCUCAGAUGAGCCUAGGUCGGAUUAGCUAGUUGGUGGGGUAAAGGCCUACCAAGGCGACGAUCCGUAACUGGUCUGAGAGGAUGAUCAGUCACACUGGAACUGAGACACGGUCCAGACUCCUACGGGAGGCAGCAGUGGGGAAUAUUGGACAAUGGGCGAAAGCCUGAUCCAGCCAUGCCGCGUGUGUGAAGAAGGUCUUCGGAUUGUAAAGCACUUUAAGUUGGGAGGAAGGGCAGUAAGUUAAUACCUUGCUGUUUUGACGUUACCAACAGAAUAAGCACCGGCUAACUUCGUG
RNAcentral lists this ribosomal RNA (484 nucleotides) under uncultured bacterium. RNAcentral's name for it is "partial 16S ribosomal RNA". It matches the Rfam family "Bacterial small subunit ribosomal RNA", at positions 30 to 507 of the family's 1533-position model. The record is from RNAcentral.